Long non-coding RNA from Drosophila mojavensis, 2164 nucleotides. RefSeq lists it as uncharacterized. NCBI's taxonomy places the organism in Eukaryota, Metazoa, Arthropoda, Insecta, Diptera, Drosophilidae. The transcript has 5 exons. The record is from RefSeq and is a predicted model, not a curated record.
CAAUCAAUCGCCGCACGAGUCAACACGAAGUCCCGACAGCGGCUGAGGCAGCGGCUGCAAAGAGCGCCGGAGCGUAAAAACUUUGCUAUGGACUCUUUUCGGGGGUGGCAAAUGGCUCUUGCGCAGUUUCUCUGAUACGAUUCAAGACGCGUGCGAAUUCAAAUAAAAUUUCAAUAAUUAAGACGCAUUAAAAAUGACAACUCACGAUUGACGAAUAAACAGAGUUGCAAGCAACGAAACUUAUCGAGCUGUGUGAAUGGCACUUGACAAUCGCACGGAAUGACGACAUUAAUUAUCGAAAUCGAGCAAAUACAUUAAAUUGCCUAUAUUGAGAAAAAUGAAAAGAAGCUGAUAAGAUGAGGAUGAGGCAGAGCAGAUCAGGUGCAGUACUUGAUAAGGAAAGGGACCUGGAGGUACACAAAGCCCAGGUAAAACCCGGCACGUGUAUCAAUUGACAAGGCUUCAGGUAGUGCUCAAAUUGAUUUGAUUGGAUUUGUUGUUGCCAAAGAAACAGAGAUAAGUCAGAGAAGCUGACCUGCCAAAUAUUCAUAUAUUUACAUAUAUGUAUAUAUUUUCAUUCCAGGCUACACCUGGAGUUGCGUGUACAUAUGUACUUAUAAAUGUACAUAUGUAUAUGUACAUACAAAGUGGUACAUACAUACAUACACAGUGAUCCACAGCGUAUUUCAAAAGCAAAUAAGCGCAGCUAUCUAUGAGAUCUGAGCUAAGACAUAUCAACAAAAUUAAUCAUAAUUUCUCUUCUGGCAAUCUUUCAACAAAGUAAGGACCUACGCACUGUCAUAUGCAGACACGACUCAUAAAUCCAAAGGGAGAGAGACAAACGCGAUGCACUUUAGGCGCACGCGCAGAUGUUUUUACAGGAUUUUUCAUUAGUGUCAGCACUCGUUGCAUGCAGCUCAAGCGCAUUUGAAUAAAUAAGUGUGCAUGUGCGAGUGUGUGUGUGUGUGUGUGCAUACACCAAACAAAACAUGUCAGGUCCCAAACAUAAUUGAAAAGAAAGAAGGAACGCGCGCGCGCGCGUCUAUAAAUCAACGCGGCAGGAUAAUGCAUCCACGAGUGUUGAGCACUAAUUUUGGCUCGUUGCGGCAUCUGUCCAGGAGCCAAGGCAGCAUCAGGAGGAGGAGGAGCAGCAGCAACAGCAGCAGCAGCAAUAACAAAGCGGCCUCCAUUGAACACAUCGAGUGGCUUCUUCGCUUGAAUGCAAUGCGAGAAAUUUAGAUCCCUUACAAAGAGAGACUGAGCGCGUAAUAUGAGGCAGCCUGGCUAGCGCACCUGGCCGUGAUUUGGAAACAGAGCUGAACACGGCUGAACUACUUAGAGGCAGACGUGGAACAGGUUGACGACUCACGAAGCGAGCCAACAAACCAGCUUCAUAGCGGUCACAGCUGACAACAACCACAUCGCAACAACUACAGCAACUGAGUUGUUGUGCCUCCCUUUUUGGAGACGACACAAAUCAGAUCAACCGUUGCCUGAACCGUGAUGAACCUGCCGCGCAGCGAGCCAGCUCUGGUCCCGUUGUGUGUGCUCUGCGCCGUCUGAUGUUGCAACAGUGCCAGAGUCCACAAGCGGUUGACGACACACGAACCAGCGCGAUUCACAGUUUGCAGCUUCAGCAACGUCAGCAACGUCAGCAGCGUCAGCUCUCCGUCUGCAGGGGAGAGUCGUGGACAGUCGCGCUCCCUUGUCCAUGUGGGGGGCGUGCAUCCAACACACAUAUAUCCGUGCAACCACAGGCCAUGCACGCCGCCGCCGGCGUGUUGCACUUUAAGUUUUUUUUUGGCUUAAACAUUUAGCUCAUUGCAAAUGGCUGACAGGGUAUAUUAGUUCUUUGGAAUGUGUCACAUACUGAAGUAGGUCCAAUCCAUUAGCAAUGAGAAUGAACUGAAAGCAUAUAUCUAUCUCUAUGUCAUUUCCUUAAGAUAAUCGAUCUGUGUGUCCUCAUAUCACAUUGAGCCUGGGAAACAUAGGAGAUAUUUGAACCUAGUCAAGGCAAUGAGACUUCAUCUUAUAUCAAAAAUCAUAAGAUUUAUGCUAAACAUGUCAAACACCAUUCGUAGAGCUCGAGCUCUGGAACAGUUUACACAACUUACAAAUGUUUAUCUCCUUUGUAUAUCCCCUAAAUUACAUACAUUAAGUUUCA